RNAcentral lists this ribosomal RNA (609 nucleotides) under Pyrococcus sp. Tc95-7C-I. RNAcentral's name for it is "bacterial SSU rRNA". It matches the Rfam family "Archaeal small subunit ribosomal RNA", at positions 97 to 700 of the family's 1478-position model. The record is from RNAcentral. Lineage: Archaea; Methanobacteriati; Methanobacteriota; Thermococci; Thermococcales; Thermococcaceae.
CACGUCGGUAACCUACCCUCGGGAGGGGGAUAACCCCGGGAAACUGGGGCUAAUCCCCCAUAGGCCUGGGGUACUGGAAGGUCCCCAGGCCGAAAGGGAGCCGUAAGGCUCCGCCCGAGGAUGGGCCGGCGGCCGAUUAGGUAGUUGGUGGGGUAACGGCCCACCAAGCCGAAGAUCGGUACGGGCCGUGAGAGCGGGAGCCCGGAGAUGGACACUGAGACACGGGUCCAGGCCCUACGGGGCGCAGCAGGCGCGAAACCUCCGCAAUGCGGGAAACCGCGACGGGGGGACCCCCAGUGCCGUGCCUCUGGCACGGCUUUUCCGGAGUGUAAAAAGCUCCGGGAAUAAGGGCUGGGCAAGGCCGGUGGCAGCCGCCGCGGUAAUACCGGCGGCCCGAGUGGUGGCCACUAUUAUUGGGCCUAAAGCGGCCGUAGCCGGGCCCGUAAGUCCCUGGCGAAAUCCCACGGCUCAACCGUGGGGCUCGCUGGGGAUACUGCGGGCCUUGGGACCGGGAGAGGCCGGGGGUACCCCCGGGGUAGGGGUGAAAUCCUAUAAUCCCGGGGGGACCGCCAGUGGCGAAGGCGCCCGGCUGGAACGGGUCGACGGUGA